UCCGCUGCUAGAAAUUCCUUUCUCUUCCAAUGAAUUCGCUCACUACUCUGUUCUGCAUCUAACACCUGGACCGAAGCUAUCACGAUGACUUGGUAAUAUCUUGUUUACUUGUUCUGAAAGGAAAAUAGUAAUCUAAGGCAUAAGUAAUUUAUUUAAGCUUACUUGCAUAAUUAGAGGCGUCCAGAUGUUGACCUAUCCGACAACGCUAUUAUAGUUGGGCGUUCGGAUUCGGUGUUCUGUGCCUUUUGAUAGUAAUUGGGCGUCCGUACUCGGUGGUCUGUGCCUUUUGAUGUGGAUAGAGAUGGUUGUCCAUAAGGCGUCAAGACGCGUUGGGUCCUGGCCUUGUGUAGGUAGAGAUGUUAAAGUAACUAGUUGCACAUGAUGUAAACUGGAUGAGCAUGUAACUGCUUUAGAGGUUUGUGAUUGCUUUAGUAAUCUGUAAGAUAUACUUGAGUUUGAUCGGUUGAGAUUGUAACUGCUUUAGUAAGGUGUUUAACGUCGAGGUUUGCUAGACGACGGGAGUGACCAUCCCACAAGGUGUUCGNGAACAACCGACCCGUUCGNUGAUUAACNUCUAGUCGACAGGAGUGACCAUCCUGUAAGGUGUUUAACGUCCAGGUUUGCUAGACGACGGGAGUGACCAUCCCACAAGGUGUUUAAUGUCCAGGGUCGCUGGGCGACGGGAGAGAUAAUCCCGCAAGGUGUUUAACGUCCAGGGUCGCUGGGCGACGGGAGUGACCAUCCCGCAAGGUGUUUAAUGUCCAGGGUCACUCUAGUAAUCUGUAAGAUAUACUUGAGUCUGAUCG
RNAcentral lists this long non-coding RNA (806 nucleotides) under Vigna radiata. RNAcentral's name for it is "long non-coding RNA (VRAD_LNC017777)". Lineage: Eukaryota; Viridiplantae; Streptophyta; Magnoliopsida; Fabales; Fabaceae. The record is from RNAcentral.